Molecule: non-coding RNA, 1527 nt
Organism: Xyrichtys novacula (pearly razorfish)
Lineage: Eukaryota; Metazoa; Chordata; Actinopteri; Labriformes; Labridae
Source: the annotation of a GenBank genome assembly
GGUCCUCGGCGGGGGAAAGAAGAUAGGCGGUCCGCGGGAAGGUUUGCUGGGACUCGGUGCCGUCGGCGGGUCGAAGCUCGGUGGUGGCCGGCUUGGAGUGAAGGAGGUGCGGCGUCUUCUUUCAGGUGGCGGCACGGGGUCUUCCUCGAGGCGGUGGUCCGUCUUCUUGGUCCAGUGGUUAGUGCUUUGUCUCAAUUACAGGAACAGGAAUUGCUCUUUAGUGCACAGCACUUAGAAGUGCUUUUAACAGGAGCAGACAUCCCCAGAGUUGGGCUCGACUCAUGGUUUGUGUUGUUCCUCUCAGACAUGGUUGUGUUCUCUUCUCGAUGUUUGUUUGGUUGUAUUUUAAACUUUCAAGUUGUUUUAAGUUAAUUUUAAAGUGGUUUAUUUGUUUUAAAUUGAGUUUUGCUACAUUAAAUUUGUAUGCAAUCGCAAGGGAUUGUGGGUAUUUUAGUUCUGAGGGAUGAGAGCCUAAGGAAUCAAUCUUCCUGUUACAGCAAAGGAUUGUGGGUUAAACCGAGAGUGAGUGAGGUACUUCCUUUCUGGCAUGAGAGCCUUGGGAAUCCAUCUCCCUGUUGCAGAAAUGGAUUGUGGGUAAAACCGUGAGUGAGGGAGGUACAUUUUUCCUGGCAUGAGAACCUCAGGAGUCAGUCCUUCCUAAGAAAAAAGAGGGGAGGGGGGAAGAAAAACAAAAGCACAGGAACCCUAAAAUAAAAUAAUACAAUAUAAAACAAUGAAAAAAUAAAAAAAUAAAAGAAGAACAAAAGUGGAUUGCAAAAAGGGAAGGGGAAGAAAAAAGGAAAAAAAGAAGUGUCAAGAGCAAAUAGCAAAAAUCAAAAGUGAGCUUAAAAACAGAGAACAGUUCCCUAAAAGACAGACAGACAGAAAUGUAAAUUUGAUCAAUGUCCUAAGGGAAAAUCUGUACGUGUGUGCGUGUGUGUGCGUGUGCGUGUGUGUGUGUGUGUGUGUGUGUGUGUGUGUGUUCUUUUUUGCUAGCUUAGUCUGGUGUCACUGAUGGUCAGUUAUUGAUAAGUAUUUAUUAUUUAAAUUUUUGAUGAAGUUGUUUGUAGUGGGGUUAGCUGGCUAAUUUUAGAGUGUUAAAAAAGAUGUUUGAGGGGGAGGAUUUAGGGGGCACGGCGGUUCCCCUUCAGGUCUCUCUUAAUCCUCCAUAUAGGUGACCCAACAGGGGUUACCCCCCGGCCGGGGUAGGCCUAGGCUGAAGAUCACCUAUUUGUCCUCUGUGAAGGUGAAAAUAAAGGGGCAGGGGAGGGAAUAAGAAAGAGGGGGUGUGUUAGAGAGAGGGGGAGAGAUGAGGGAGAGAGAUGAGGGAGAGAGAGAGAGUGUGUGAGAGAGAGGGGGAAGAGGGAAAGAGGGAGAGAGGGGGGGGGAGUGUGUGUGAGAGAGAGAGAGAGAGAGAGAGAGAGAGAAGGGAAGAGGGAGAGGGGGGUUUAAGGGAGAGGUGGAGAUGGUGGAAAAUAAAGAUUGGUGAGGGGGAUUUGGUGGCGGAUGAAACAUCCCAUAGCUCCC